AAACAGCAACAUGGGGAACUGCAUGUGACAGAAGAGUCGUGGCUUAUCAGACUAGCACAAGCACUUACUUACAUUAAUGUUCUUUAGGAAAGACCUGUUCUACUUUCUUAGAAGACCAGAACUAUGUGAUGAAUAGAACUUCCUAUUCCAGAAGGAAGAUGAGGCUGCAUCCAGAUUGAAAAGCUCUCAGUGACAAUGAGGAUGUCAGCAUCAUCCCUUCCUGAGCAUGCAGGAAGGAACUGGCCAACAGUGCUUCUUCCUGAUGCCCUGUAGAGUGCAGAGAAGCAGAAGAAGGAUGCUCACAAGAAGACCAAUGAUUAAAUAUCUGGCUCAUAAUCACAGACAGACACCAGGAUCCUUCACAAAAGACCGGCCAUGUUACCAGUCCAGACAGUCAUCGGAGCAGAGGAACUGCUCCCUGCUAUGCAUCUCUGAGGGCAAGGGAGUGCCAGAACCAGGAAUCACACUCUUCCUGCAAAUAUAUGCAGUCCAUGAGUACAGGUUGUCCUACCUUAAUGGAUGGGAAGCUCAAACUGAACUUGCAUCUAGUGGGGUUGCAGGUCAGUGCACAGCUGCCUUGGAGCAAACAUUAGCUGGAGCUGAGCCAAUAGUUAAUGCCUUCGAGAUCACAACCAAGGAAACAGGAAAAUGAGUUUCUGAAAGCAGGAUUUGCUGAAGUCCAUGGGCCACUAGUUUAGCAGAUUUUCUAUCUUGGGUCCCAGACUGGGUAAGAUAGUGUACAUCCAUUGUGAUGAGGGCCUAUAUAGACAUUCAAAAUACAAAAAAAUGAAAUUGAAUUAUUUCACUGAGGCCUUUGACUAGGGAGGCUCCAUGUAUUUGUAAGGGGAAUUAUUUAAUCUUCCAUCCAAAAAAGAAAUGAUCUCUUAUGGCAUGUCUGAUAAUUUAGAGUCUUCUUGGCUUUUUAAAUUAUGCUACUGUAUGUAGCUGAAAAUUGUUUGAUAAGCAUCACUAAGUGGUCUGGCUUUAAACCAAGCCUGUCAUCUAGUGGAGUGCUAUGCUAUUCCAACUUUAAUCUAGAUAACUGGCACACAUAAAAUAAGGAAACACAAAUAUGACACAGCUGCAGCUAGUCUGGCGGAGCUAAAAUGCUUAACAGUGUUUUAUGCCUGUAAUAUAAGGCUGCUUACUAAUGGAAGAAUCCUAAAAGAGUGACAAUCAGAUUGCCUUUGAUACAACUGGUUAUAAAAAUGUUGGAGAUUUAGUAUUUAUGGUGCCUGCAGGUUACAAUAAAAUGCUUAUGUUAUGACUUUACUAGACA
Molecule: long non-coding RNA, 1279 nt
Filed under: Phasianus colchicus (ring-necked pheasant)
Lineage: Eukaryota; Metazoa; Chordata; Aves; Galliformes; Phasianidae
Description: lncRNA (ENSPCLG00000007924.1)
Source: RNAcentral